Long non-coding RNA from Schistocerca gregaria, 2474 nucleotides. RefSeq lists it as uncharacterized. Lineage: Eukaryota; Metazoa; Arthropoda; Insecta; Orthoptera; Acrididae. The record is from RefSeq and is a predicted model, not a curated record. The transcript has 2 exons.
ACAGCCCGACCCGUGGGUUAACUGAAAUGACUGAUACCAACUGUUUUUUGAUAUGUAACUGUGUAGUUAUUGGACAAUUCAGUGCCCUAGGGAUUUGUAUGUGUACCUAUGUGUAUUUAUAUAUUAGUCUGUCGCAUUUACUAGUAAUAUUCUGUAUUCGUUGUGAAAAGACUUUUAUUGUCGUCAUUGUUGUCAUUAACGGAAUUACAUAAUAAAUGCCAAAUUAAAUGAUUCAUCAGCAGGGUGAGCUAAGAAAUGUAAAGUAACGGAUAAUAAGAUACUGUAGAAGUAUUGGUAUAAGUGGUCAGAGCCACUAAUUACGAUCAUUUGGAACAAGAAAUGUAUUAGUAUAGAAAAAGCUUCAUUAUCUUGAGAAACAGCUUUUUAAGUGAUUACCAAGCAAUGUAUUCGUACUUGUUAUUCAUUGUAUAUCCUAUUUUGAAAUUAAUGUACUUUGUAAACACAUUUUGAUUAACUCUCCAAUUGUUUGCAUCACACAAUGUUCAGAUUUUUCGUAUUUCAGGGCGUAUUUGUAACUUACUUGUAUACAGUCUGAUAGAAAGCAGAAUUUGUGAUGUCAUUAAAUGUUAGUAUCUGAAACCGAACUGUAAUUAAUUAAAUAACUCAAAAUUCACAAAAGACAUUAUUGUAAUUAGAACCAUAUCGAUUUUUAAUAUUUAAACCUAGUGAUGACACUACAAAAAUUACGUCAAUUAAUAUUGUUAAUUUUUCCUUAUUCGGAUGUAAUGUCUGUUCGCAAACAUUUUGUACAUUUUAAUUGUAACUUUGAAAUUCUUCAGAAUUAAUAAUGCAAUAUUUUGUGAGUGAUUGUUAAAAUUCUAUAUAAGCAGAGAUGAUGCGAGGUCAGAACCAGUCAGUUGUUUGUGAUGUUUUCGGCUGGAGAGUCUGUACAAGUGACGCCUGUAAAUAAAUAAUGUGAAGUGUGAAGAAUUCUCCGAUUUCUUCAUCUAAAAAUGAACCCCCAAAAGUUAAGUUUAUAAAUAUAAAGCUGCUCGACGAACAAGUAGCUUUAUAAGUGGUGGUGUGAGCUGGGAUUUGAUGAUUGAAAUCGGAACUGUUUUUAAAAAGUAAUUGUUUCAGGUGACCGCAAGACGAACACUAAACAUAAAUUGUGAAGAAAUUUUUGUGUUUAUGGACGCACAGAACGAGUGGAUGUUGCUGCAUGAGAAGAGUUGGUGUGGAAAAGAAAUACAAAGAAAAUCAUCACCUGCAUGGGGAGAUCGUAAAUCAUAACAACUGAUCUGAUGAUAAUGGACCAAAUUCUCGGACUGCACCGCUGGAAUUCAGAUGAUGUAGAGACUGCCAGAAGCAGAGGGGCUGCAGACACAAGAUGGACAGCGCAUUGGGACGGAUGAUUGUGAGCUGCCAAUUCAUUAAGAUAUGCAACAUGCACCAGUGACUGGAGUAACAGCUAAGAAAAAAGAAAUUCUAUUUUGGAGGGUAUUUAGCAGCCAUUCAUACAAGUUACACUUGUAAGAGUGGCUGGGGGGGUGUAUAACAAUACAGCCCGACCCGUGGGUUAACUGAAAUGACUGAUACCAACUGUUUUUUGAUAUGUAACUGUGUAGUUAUUGGACAAUUCAGUGCCCUAGGGAUUUGUAUGUGUACCUAUGUGUAUUUAUAUAUUAGUCUGUCGCAUUUACUAGUAAUAUUCUGUAUUCGUUGUGAAAAGACUUUUAUUGUCGUCAUUGUUGUCAUUAACGGAAUUACAUAAUAAAUGCCAAAUUAAAUGAUUCAUCAGCAGGGUGAGCUAAGAAAUGUAAAGUAACGGAUAAUAAGAUACUGUAGAAGUAUUGGUAUAAGUGGUCAGAGCCACUAAUUACGAUCAUUUGGAACAAGAAAUGUAUUAGUAUAGAAAAAGCUUCAUUAUCUUGAGAAACAGCUUUUUAAGUGAUUACCAAGCAAUGUAUUCGUACUUGUUAUUCAUUGUAUAUCCUAUUUUGAAAUUAAUGUACUUUGUAAACACAUUUUGAUUAACUCUCCAAUUGUUUGCAUCACACAAUGUUCAGAUUUUUCGUAUUUCAGGGCGUAUUUGUAACUUACUUGUAUACAGUCUGAUAGAAAGCAGAAUUUGUGAUGUCAUUAAAUGUUAGUAUCUGAAACCGAACUGUAAUUAAUUAAAUAACUCAAAAUUCACAAAAGACAUUAUUGUAAUUAGAACCAUAUCGAUUUUUAAUAUUUAAACCUAGUGAUGACACUACAAAAAUUACGUCAAUUAAUAUUGUUAAUUUUUCCUUAUUCGGAUGUAAUGUCUGUUCGCAAACAUUUUGUACAUUUUAAUUGUAACUUUGAAAUUCUUCAGAAUUAAUAAUGCAAUAUUUUGUGAGUGAUUGUUAAAAUUCUAUAUAAGCAGAGAUGAUGCGAGGUCAGAGUCAGUCAGUUGUUUGUGAUGUUUUCGGCUGGAGAGUCUGUACAAGUGACGCCUGUAAAUAAAUAAUGUGAAGUGUGAAGAA